This 253-nucleotide ribosomal RNA is filed under the name uncultured bacterium. Its description in RNAcentral is "partial 16S ribosomal RNA". It matches the Rfam family "Bacterial small subunit ribosomal RNA", at positions 524 to 776 of the family's 1533-position model. The record is from RNAcentral.
GACGGAGGAUGCAAGUGUUAUCCGGAAUCACUGGGCGUAAAGCGUCUGUAGGUGGUCCAAUAAGUCAACUGUUAAAUCUUGGGGCUCAACCUCAAAAUCGCAGUCGAAACUAUUAGACUAGAGUAUAGUAGGGGUAAAGGGAAUUUCCAGUGGAGCGGUGAAAUGCGUAGAGAUUGGAAAGAACACCGAUGGCGAAGGCACUUUACUGGGCUAUUACUAACACUGAGAGACGAAAGCUAGGGUAGCAAAUGCG